GACGAACGCUGGCGGCGUGCCUAAUACAUGCAAGUUGAGCGCUGAAGGUUGGUACUUGUACCGACUGGAUGAGCAGCGAACGGGUGAGUAACGCGUGGGGAAUCUGCCUUUGAGCGGGGGACAACAUUUGGAAACGAAUGCUAAUACCGCAUAAAAACUUUAAACACAAGUUUUAAGUUUGAAAGAUGCAAUUGCAUCACUCAAAGAUGAUCCCGCGUUGUAUUAGCUAGUUGGUGAGGUAAAGGCUCACCAAGGCGAUGAUACAUAGCCGACCUGAGAGGGUGGUCGGCCACAUUGGGACUGUGACACGGCCCAAACUCCUACGGGAGGCCGCAGUAGGGAAUCUUCGGCAAUGGACGGAAGUCUGACCGAGCAACGCCGCGUGAGUGAAGAAGGUUUUCGGAUCGUAAAACUCUGUUGGUAGAGAAGAACGUUGGUGAGAGUGGAAAGCUCAUCAAGUGACGGUAACUACCCAGAAAGGGACGGCUAACUACGUG
Molecule: ribosomal RNA, 497 nt
Filed under: uncultured bacterium
Lineage: Bacteria
Description: partial 16S ribosomal RNA
Rfam family: Bacterial small subunit ribosomal RNA
Source: RNAcentral